Micropterus dolomieu (smallmouth bass) is the source of this 811-nucleotide long non-coding RNA. RefSeq lists it as uncharacterized. NCBI's taxonomy places the organism in Eukaryota, Metazoa, Chordata, Actinopteri, Centrarchiformes, Centrarchidae. The record is from RefSeq and is a predicted model, not a curated record. The transcript is spliced from 2 exons.
AUGUUAUCAUUACAUCCUAUUUCCCUUUACUUAGGAAGCUGCUUUUUCCCAGCUUUUUCUGGUCUUCAGUGACUGAUUAAUCUGUCACGCCGGACUGUCCGUUGCACAUGAUGAAGCGAACAGAUAGACAGGGACCCUGGUUCAACUCGUAUGUGUGCUUCCUUCAUGCAUGUAAUGGAAAACAGGUGGGCACCCUGUAGGCCAUCGGAGUUGAUUGCUACCUCGUGAUUGGUCUUCUGGAUGAAACCCCCAGCUGACAGCAAUCUUUCUCUUCACUCUCCUACUCCCAACCAUGUGCCAGUUUAGAGUGUUGUUGUGUGAAACCCCUUUGUAAGUAGAAAAAACCGCAGCUUAGUGAUUUUGAAUGUUUGUGGAAACUCUGUGAGGUGAAGACCUCAAUUCAUUGACCUUAGCAAUUGUUUGCUGUAAACAGAUCUUUGUAAAUAAGGAUUUGGAUAUAUUGAGCACUUGGUAGCAGAUUAAUUAAGAGUGAGAGGUUAUUUUGUGCACAGCUCAUCUCUGAAGAUAAAAUAAAACUGAUACUUUGCAAUUUUCCAGUGUUGAACUGGCCUUACUUAGGAGUGGGAAGACACCUAAUGUUAUGUCUAGGUUGCCCUGGGACAGGGGACAUAAUUAUGAUACAAAGAUUUCUAGAUGUAACUCUUGGAUGUGGCACAUCAGCUAGUGCUCACCAUAAAUACACACCGACAUGUAUGGAAGAGUGAACAACAAACAAAAUCAUGUCUUUAACAAAUAAAAGAAUGAGAUGGCAGGCUGGUGUUGAGGAAAUAAAGACUUGUAAAGACACUGA